This is a long non-coding RNA of Equus caballus (horse), 2451 nucleotides long. The record is from Ensembl. NCBI's taxonomy places the organism in Eukaryota, Metazoa, Chordata, Mammalia, Perissodactyla, Equidae.
CUUAAACUAGGCAAAGUAUGUCUUUGGCAUUCUCUACAUUCGCGUUCUCCUGGCUUUCUAGCUCCCACAUGCUGUCCUACUUGAGUACCUUGAGUACCUGACAGAGGACUCCAUGAUUAAAGCUUACUCCAGAAGGCUUCUGUGCCCCAAAAGGACCUCACAAAUCCUCUUCUCCAACUCAAAACUUCCAUUGUCACCAAGUAGCUAUUUUCAGCUAAAAAGGUGCAAAGAGUGGUAUCUCAGUAAAUUAAUUCACAUUUUUCUGUAAGUAGCUAGUAGAUAAUUGGCAUUUUUCAAGGAAAAUGUCCAUUAAUCAAAUGAGUUUCUAGUUGCUGGGUUUUCAGGCAAUCUAACCAGAUGAGAAUAAUUGUAAAUUCAUUUUUUAUCACGGAAGAUAUUUUUGGGCAAGGGAUACACAAUAUGCCGCAGGGUCAGAUUAUCCAAUAAACUUUCUUUUUUGCACAGCUCGUUCCUUUCUGCUUCUCAGUCUGCAUUUUCUCUUAACAACUUGCAAGUCUUUUAAUCACAAUGAACUUCUAUGACAGAAUGGUGUGAAGGGAGGCUUGUGAAUGGUUGAAGUUAAGGCCAUAUUAUCUGUACUCUUGUUUCUCAUAGUGUGUGACCUAUAACAUAAGGAAUCUCCCCUCCCCAGCCCCACUUUCUAUUGUAUUGAUAAAGAAACAAGAACACAGAAAGGUUGAAUGCCCACUAUCAGUGGAGUCCGAGUCUCCAGGUCCUUUGUCUAGAUUUCAGGACACCGAGAUCCAUGAUGUUAUGAUGUUAUUUCUCAACAAGAAUGCAAGCCAUAUUAAGUAUAGAUUGGUGAACUGCAAUUAAAUUCCCAUAGAACAAUUUCUUACAUUUCAAAGCUUAUUCAGGUAUUUUUGGCAUGUAUCUCAAAAUGAAUGAUUACUGAAAUUAUCAGUACAAUUCAGUAGUGUGCUAUCUGCCUUCCUAUGAAAGAGCAUAGUGGCAUUAAUAGUGAUUAUUCACAAAUACAUUAUACUUAUGGAUGCACUGUUCCUAGUUUUCAUCUUACAAUAUUGUGAAGUCUGUUGUAUAAUUUGGAUAAAAUGAUAAUCCUUAAUCACCUAAAAUUCCAUUUGGUUGCUAAUACUUGAAGCUAUAGUAAGUCCUAAAUUAUAGACAUAAGUUUCUUUGAAACAUGAAGAAGAACACAAAGGAAAAUUAUUUUUAGAAUACAGAAAUUCAAGCUUGCUUACUUAAAGUAUACAUGUAUUCCACAUGUACCUUUUAGUUUAUUGACCAGCAAAAAAGCUAAAUGCUUAGAAAUAAACAUGUAUGUGAUUGCCAAGUUAGGAUUCUUUCUAUAUUCACAUUUCUAAACCUUGGACAGUAGAGCUUCUUUGGAUAACUGUUUUGCUUUCAUUCUAUUUGUCUAAUUAUGUGAACUAAUUUAUUCUUAAAAAGGUAUUUAUUAAGCAUCUAAUUUUAUGUGGGUCAGUGCUAGAGAAUGUACUAAGUGCAUUAGUUUCUUAAUAAAUUGUCAUAAUGUGACCAAGUAGAUUUAUUUGCUUUUUUCUUUCCUGUCAUCUAAUAUUGCUUAGGUCACAUUUAAGUUCUCUUUUCAAGUUCACUUUCUCUGAAAUUGAUACCAUUUAUAGCAAAGAAAUGUAAGUGUGUUUUUUAGUAUGAUAAAAUUAUUUUUAACAUCACAAAAGCAAUCUAGCGGGAAACAGGAAACAGCCAUUUUAAAAGUUAUACAGGAAACCUUGAUUAAAUAUCCAAAUGCCAACAUGGUUUGGAAAUGGGAAUUUAUCUUGUCUUAAAUUCCACAGCAUAAAAAAGGAGAAUGGUGGUUUUUCUUUGUUUGAUUUUUUUAGAACAGUAAGUAGUGUUGGUAGUUGUGAGUUACAUAGGGUUUAUGUAGAGAGAGCAUAAUUCGCUAUAGCCAAAAUAAAAAAAUAUUGUCUUACCAACAUUUCCCAAGCACUUUGGGAUUCCUAACUUUAUUUUUUGAUAUAGAAAAUAUGAUAUUUACUGGCAUUUUAUUGUGCUUCUCAAGACAGAAAUGGCAUUAAAUAGAAGUUGUGUGUAAAUUUGAUUCACAUGUGCUUAAAAACUUAAAAGCUGCAAUUGAAAGAAAAGGUCCCCAAUGUUCAGGUGACUGUAUUUUCUUUUUCUGACUACAGUAUGGAGUUUAUACCAUCAUUUAUUUUAUGAAUGUUUUCUUUAAAGCACUGUUCCUUUUGACAUUAAAGUUUUCAUUGUACUACAUUUUUCAUGUAAGACCAACUCUAGUAGUGCAUUUUAUGGUGUUUUUUUUCCCUCACAGUGCUGCUUAAAGAAAUGGCUAUCAUUUUGAAUUUACAACAUGCCAAAGAUGACAUAGAAAUUAUAAUUAUUUUUGUUCUUGUUAAAACUCUGUGAGCAACAUUUAUCAAGAUAUCAUGUUAAAUUACUGGCAUUCUCUGGGUACUAAAUAAAAAG